GACGAACGCUGGCGGCGUGCUUAACACAUGCAAGUCGAACGGAAAGGCCUGCUUUCCCUUGUGGAUUGCGGGUACUCGAGUGGCGAACGGGUGAGUAACACGUGAGUGAUCUGCCCCCAACUUGGGUAUAAGCCUGGGAAACUGGGUCUAAUUCCCGAUAGGACUGCAGGGUGGUGCCUGUGGUGGAAAACGAUUUUCUAGUGGUUGGGGAUGAGCUCGCGGCCUAUCAGCUUGUUGGUGGGGUAAUGGCCUACCAAGGCGGCGACGGGUAGCCGGCCUGAGAGGGUGGACGGCCACAUUGGGACUGAGAUAUGGCCCAGACUCCUACGGGAGGCAGCAGUGGGGAAUAUUACACAAUGGGCGGAAGCCUGAUGCAGCGACGCCGCGUGGGGGAUGACGGCCUUCGGGUUGUAAACUCCUUUCGACCGCGAGGAAGCCACCUGGUUGGAAGGGUGGUGACGGUAGUGGUAGAAGAAGCACCGGCUAACUACGUG
Molecule: ribosomal RNA, 494 nt
Filed under: uncultured bacterium
Lineage: Bacteria
Description: partial 16S ribosomal RNA
Rfam family: Bacterial small subunit ribosomal RNA
Source: RNAcentral